AAAGAAUUUCGGUAUGGGAUGGGGAUGCGUUCCAUUAGUUAGUUGGCGGGGUAACGGCCCACCAAGACAACGAUGGAUAGGGGUUCUGAGAGGAAGGUCCCCCACAUUGGAACUGAGACACGGUCCAAACUCCUACGGGAGGCAGCAGUGAGGAAUAUUGGUCAAUGGACGAGAGUCUGAACCAGCCAAGUAGCGUGAAGGAUGACUGCCCUAUGGGUUGUAAACUUCUUUUAUAUGGGAAUAAAACGUUCCACGUGUGGGAUUUUGUAUGUACCAUAUGAAUAAGGAUCGGCUAACUCCGUGCCAGCAGCCGCGGUAAUACGGAGGAUCCGAGCGUUAUCCGGAUUUAUUGGGUUUAAAGGGAGCGUAGGUGGAUUGUUAAGUCAGUUGUGAAAGUUUGCGGCUCAACCGUAAAAUUGCAGUUGAAACUGGCAGUCUUGAGUACAGUAGAGGUGGGCGGAAUUCGUGGUGUAGCGGUGAAAUGCUUAGAUAUCACGAAGAACUCCGAUUGCGAAGGCAGCUCACUGGACUGCAACUGACACUGAGGCUCGAAAGUGUGGGUAUCAAACAGGAUUAGAUACCCUGGUAGUCCACACAGUAAACGAUGAAUACUCGCUGUUUGCGAUAUACAGCAA
RNAcentral lists this ribosomal RNA (635 nucleotides) under uncultured bacterium. RNAcentral describes it as "bacterial SSU rRNA". It matches the Rfam family "Bacterial small subunit ribosomal RNA", at positions 202 to 842 of the family's 1533-position model. The record is from RNAcentral.